This 121-nucleotide ribosomal RNA is filed under the name Pteropus alecto (black flying fox). Lineage: Eukaryota; Metazoa; Chordata; Mammalia; Chiroptera; Pteropodidae. The record is from RNAcentral.
GUCUAUGACCAUGCCGCCCUGAACAAGCCCGAUCCCGUCUGAUCUCAAAAAAGCUAAGCAGGGUCGGGCCUGGUUAGUACUUGGAUGGGAGAUCACCUAGGAAGACCAGGUGCUGUAGGUA